UAAUGUAUGGGGAUCUGCCCGAUAGAGGGGAAUAACUACUGGAAACGGUGGCUAAUACCGCACAAUGUCUACGGACCAAAGCAGGGGCUCUUCGGACCUUGCACUAUCGGAUGAACCCAUAUGGGAUUAGCUAGUAGGUGGGGUAAAGGCUCACCUAGGCGACGAUCUCUAGCUGGUCUGAGAGGAUGAUCAGCCACACUGGGACUGAGACACGGCCCAG
Molecule: ribosomal RNA, 220 nt
Filed under: uncultured bacterium
Lineage: Bacteria
Description: partial 16S ribosomal RNA
Rfam family: Bacterial small subunit ribosomal RNA
Source: RNAcentral